Long non-coding RNA from Lemur catta (Ring-tailed lemur), 387 nucleotides. RefSeq lists it as uncharacterized. The record is from RefSeq and is a predicted model, not a curated record. The transcript has 4 exons. NCBI's taxonomy places the organism in Eukaryota, Metazoa, Chordata, Mammalia, Primates, Lemuridae.
GGGUGGUGCGCUGCCAGCUAUGUUUGUUCAAAGGCGAGCGCUGCGGGCUGUCCUCGCCUUUGGAAAUAUGUUUUGAGCAUCUGGCGGGCGGGUGCACACGCUACCUGCUGACUCAGGCCAGGGCUCUCGAGGUGGGAAGCCCAGCAGAGGCCCCUGGAGCUCCCCUCCUGCGUCAGCUGAGCCACACAUGGGUCUGAAAUCUGCACCUGAACCCAGGCUUUUACAGUCGGAGAGACAUCCAGGAGCUGAGAGGCCACAGGGUGAUCACGUGGAGGGACGUGGAUGACGUCAGAACUUGGGGUGAGCAGGUUGUUCCAGGCUGGAGCCUUGGUCACCAGCAGCUCCUGAGCUCACACCUGUCCCCUGCACCCCAAGAGCGGAAAAGCC